CUUUUGCGUGCCUUCCACCGCCGCGAGCUCGGAAUGUCUGGCCCCGGGUGCUUCAGGGUCCGAGAACCUGCAGAAGUUCACACUUAAAUCCUACACGAGAGUCGUAUUUAUGAUGCAGAACUCGGUGCAGAACCCGAUGGAGUGCCCAAGGCGCUUGAGCCGUUCCUAGAAGGGGAAGGAGAGCCGCGGGCGGCAGCGGGGCAGGGGACGGAAUUGGGAAGCUUGGGAGCAGGAAGAAGGCCAGAGCUACUUAGGAUGGAGAAACGGAGGCCCAGGGAAGGGAUGUGCCCGAGGUCAUACAAAGAAGUUUGUGGGAAUCCAGGCCAUGCGCGGUGGCUCACGCUUGUAAUCCCAGCACUUUGGGAGGCCGAGGCGGGCAGAUCACGAAGUCAGAAGAUCGAGACCAUCCUGGCUAACACGGGACUCAAGACUGGAAUGGGAAGAGCAUGAAAUUGAGCUGUCUAUCCCCCUGGAUCUCUCAUUGCCACCUGCCCAUAGGUUGGCUGCACCCCUCCACCAAAGAAAGGCCAUGACUCCUUCCUGGCAGCCCUGUCUUACAGCUACUCUCUGGUGAUCUGGGAACCACUCCCUCCCUUACCCCUUGAUGCCUAGGGCUAGUGCCAGCACCUUGUUGUUGUUAGCCUCAGAGGCACUUGCACUGUUCCUUGAUGGUUUUCCCAAAUCUUGCCCUCAUCUUUGUAAAUACUGUUUGCCGUUUAUUACACUGUCAUCAUAUUACCCAA
RNAcentral lists this long non-coding RNA (743 nucleotides) under Homo sapiens (human). RNAcentral's name for it is "CDC20 divergent transcript, transcript variant 1 (CDC20-DT)". The record is from RNAcentral. Lineage: Eukaryota; Metazoa; Chordata; Mammalia; Primates; Hominidae.